UACGUAGGGGGCAAGCGUUGUCCGGAAUCAUUGGGCGUAAAGAGCGCGUAGGCGGUCCGGUAAGUCCGCUGUGAAAGUCGGGGGCUCAACCCUCGAAUGCCGGUGGAUACUGCCGGGCUAGAGUCCGGAAGAGGCGAGUGGAAUUCCUGGUGUAGCGGUGAAAUGCGCAGAUAUCAGGAGGAACACCGGUGGCGAAGGCGGUUCUCUGGGCCUGUACUGACGCUGAGGAACGAAAGCGUGGGGAGCGAACAGG
RNAcentral lists this ribosomal RNA (253 nucleotides) under uncultured bacterium. RNAcentral's name for it is "partial 16S ribosomal RNA". It matches the Rfam family "Bacterial small subunit ribosomal RNA", at positions 524 to 776 of the family's 1533-position model. The record is from RNAcentral.